This 236-nucleotide long non-coding RNA is filed under the name Setaria italica (foxtail millet). RNAcentral describes it as "long non-coding RNA (SITA_LNC002813)". The record is from RNAcentral. Lineage: Eukaryota; Viridiplantae; Streptophyta; Magnoliopsida; Poales; Poaceae.
AACACCAUGUGAUAUAUACCAAUAUAUAAUUUUAGGCAAUGCAUCUAAUUGCCUUUUGUUGAUGAUGAACCUUUGUAACAAUGAUCAUAGGCUGUAACGCUGUACCCAUCCGAAGGGUACGUAUACGCAUACGCCCUAGUCGCGUCAUCUGUUGUUAGUGUGUGAUUGACUGAUUGACACUUCGUCUUUCUAAAAAAGAAAAGACUGAUUGGCACUUCAACAUCAGAGUCGAGGAA